Molecule: long non-coding RNA, 489 nt
Filed under: Lepisosteus oculatus (spotted gar)
Lineage: Eukaryota; Metazoa; Chordata; Actinopteri; Semionotiformes; Lepisosteidae
Description: lncRNA (ENSLOCG00000021329.1)
Source: RNAcentral
CAGUGAUCUUAGCUUGACAGAUGCUGAAAAGACCAAACUUUACCAACAGAAGAGCAGUGAGAUUAGUAAGAGUGCUUCUGACACUCAAAGUGUAGAACAGGGUGACUGAGCAACAGGUGAACAUUCGAGCUCAGGUAUACUUACGAAUGAGAGUUGGCCAUUUGGCAUGUCUAACUCCUUUGGUAAUUAACAGCUAAUUGUUCUGUGGAUCUCAUGCAGCUGUUUCUUGGAGGAAGAGAGAAACCUGUUGUGUAAAGAAGGUGUAAUGGUGUCUGGUGUCUUUUCCCUCUGGUAGAGAUUGAUGCUGACAUGCACAUGGAUAAAGGUUAUCGAAAGCGAGGACUGGAUGAGAGCAGCUCUUUGAGCACAAUGAACGCUCCAGACAAGAAAGGAGGUUACUGCAUCAAUUAUUACUGGGGCUAUUCCUGUACCCGCAGAAUUAGAUGCUAUCGGAGAUGUAAGUAUUCCCUUCUGUAUUUCUGUGCUUUG